RNAcentral lists this ribosomal RNA (20 nucleotides) under Fusarium oxysporum. Its description in RNAcentral is "partial 18S ribosomal RNA". Lineage: Eukaryota; Fungi; Ascomycota; Sordariomycetes; Hypocreales; Nectriaceae. The record is from RNAcentral. RNAcentral also lists the same sequence under 4 other names.
AGGGAUCAUUACCGAGUUUA